Molecule: long non-coding RNA, 1255 nt
Filed under: Heterocephalus glaber (naked mole-rat)
Lineage: Eukaryota; Metazoa; Chordata; Mammalia; Rodentia; Bathyergidae
Description: lncRNA (ENSHGLG00000044585.1)
Source: RNAcentral
GUAGGAACUUCGGGACCCUUGGGGGCAUCGUGUGAGCGUGGUGCGGGCGAGAAGGGGGGUGAGAAAGGGCCUGUGGGCCCCUUCAUCCUCAUUGGCCGCCCAUUUCUCCUCAUUCCCGCAAACACGCAGCGGCACACCCAAGUGGCAUUUGUACCUCUUUCUUGCUUUUCUUCCCGGAAGCCAUGAGAAUUGCAUAACACUCAGCCUUGUGAGAUCCGGACCAGCGAGAGAGAGGGCAUCACGUAGGGCACUGCCUUCUCCCGACUCUUUAUGUGGCACUGCGGGGGGGAUGUGCGGUGUGGGCUGCACGGAGACCCCAAUAGUUCCUGCUCAGGGCUGGCAGGGUGGGGCUUUGUUGCACACCCCACCCCACCCCACCUCAGCCACAGAGGUCAGGGCUGCUGAGGGAGUAGGCUGACCUCAGAGCUGGCAGCCACGGGGGACCUGAGUGACCUUUCAGGGUGAGCCUGGACACGGCCGAGGGACCAGCAUGGCCACUUGCUGCUGGCCCAGCCCAGUAAGACAGUGGCUCCUCAGGGUACUGCAAGAACCAGGGUCGAGUGCGGAGACCAGGGACACAGUUGGCCUGGAGGGCUUCCACAGGUGUGGCCCUGACCUCGGCCCGGGACAAAGCCCUCGAGACCCCUCAGUUCCAGUCACGGAGACCCCACCCCCUCCACUGGGGCAAAGGCGCCUCCGUCUCCAGCGCUGCUGUCUGCUGCAGGCUCCUGGCUGUGUUCUCUCAAUCCUGCACUUGCAGGUAGAGGCUGAGGGGACAAGGCACCGCAGGGCAGUGUGCUUGCCCACCUCUGGGGUCAGCUGCCCUCAGGGACCCUCCCGGCCAGUCCCAGCCACAUCUUUCCAGGGCUCCAGCCCCUGCACCAGACUCAGUGGCCCUGGGUGGCCCUGCCCUGCGCCUGGCACAGGCCUGUGUCGUGAUGUUCUGUGAUCAGUGCAUGAGUGCUGCAGGAUAAUUGAGGCCUCCACCCAAACAAAGAAGACAUGAAAGGUGACCAAGAUGCUGUUGGGAGACAUCAUCCCAAGAUUUUGGGUACUCCUGUCCUUAGGGUCACACAAUGGACCAACAUUCAUAGCCAAGAAAGUCCAGGAGUUCACACUGAUGUUAAAGAAAUGAGAUCAAGUCCUGCCCAUGGUCCUCCUCUGAGUCCAGUACACCCCCACCAAACAAACUGGGCAUUCCCCUUAUGAGAUUCUAUAUGACCAGCCACCCCCCAAUCAUAGGUCAAAUUAAAGG